RNAcentral lists this ribosomal RNA (440 nucleotides) under uncultured bacterium. Its description in RNAcentral is "bacterial SSU rRNA". It matches the Rfam family "Bacterial small subunit ribosomal RNA", at positions 338 to 795 of the family's 1533-position model. The record is from RNAcentral.
CCUACGGGAGGCAGCAGUGGGGAAUAUUGCACAAUGGGGGAAACCCUGAUGCAGCAACGCCGCGUGGAGGAUGACACAUUUCGGUGCGUAAACUCCUUUUAUAUAGGAAGAUGAUGACGGUACUAUAUGAAUAAGCACCGGCUAACUCCGUGCCAGCAGCCGCGGUAAUACGGAGGGUGCAAGCGUUACUCGGAAUCACUGGGCGUAAAGAGCGUGUAGGCGGGUAUAUAAGUCAGAAGUGAAAUCCUAUAGCUUAACUAUAGAACUGCUUUUGAAACUGUAUACCUAGAAUGUGGGAGAGGUAGAUGGAAUUUCUGGUGUAGGGGUAAAAUCCGUAGAGAUCAGAAGGAAUACCGAUUGCGAAGGCGAUCUACUGGAACAUUAUUGACGCUGAGACGCGAAAGCGUGGGGAGCAAACAGGAUUAGAUACCCUUGUAGUC